Long non-coding RNA from Oncorhynchus keta (chum salmon), 264 nucleotides. RefSeq lists it as uncharacterized. Lineage: Eukaryota; Metazoa; Chordata; Actinopteri; Salmoniformes; Salmonidae. The record is from RefSeq and is a predicted model, not a curated record. The transcript has 2 exons.
ACCAGACCUUAAUCAGAGUGAUGGUGAGCCGUAGUGAGGUGGACAUGUUGGAUAUCAGAGCUGAUUACAGACGCCUCUUCACCAAGUCUCUGCACUCCGCUAUACAGGGUGAUACCUCUGGUGACUACCGUAAAGCCCUCCUCCUGCUCUGUGGCGGUGACGACGCGUAACCGUGGCGAUGAUCCCUGAAGGAGCGAUACCCAGAGAGAACCUCCGCUCUGACUGGCCCCUCUAGCUGUCAAUCACUCUCUGAGUCCUGUGUAA